Non-coding RNA from Mycena rosella, 74 nucleotides. Lineage: Eukaryota; Fungi; Basidiomycota; Agaricomycetes; Agaricales; Mycenaceae. The record is from the annotation of a GenBank genome assembly.
UCAGACAUGGUGUAACGGUAACAUAGCUUCAUUGAAUUGCGGAGCGGUCCUGGGUUCGACUCCCGGUGUCUGAC